RNAcentral lists this unclassified non-coding RNA (331 nucleotides) under soil metagenome. RNAcentral describes it as "partial contains 5.8S ribosomal RNA, internal transcribed spacer 2, and large subunit ribosomal RNA". The stretch from base 1 to 120 matches the Rfam family "5.8S ribosomal RNA", at positions 35 to 154 of the family's 154-position model. The record is from RNAcentral.
GAUGAAGAACGCAGUGAAAUGCGAUAAGUAGUGUGAAUUGCAGAAUUCAGUGAAUCAUCGAAUCUUUGAACGCACAUUGCGCCCCCUGGUAUUCCGGGGGGCAUGCCUGUUCGAGCGUCAUUUCACCACUCAAGCCUCGCUUGGUAUUGGGCAACGCGGUCCGCCGCGUGCCUCAAAUCGACCGGCUGGGUCUUCUGUCCCCUAAGCGUUGUGGAAACUAUUCGCUAAAGGGUGUUCGGGAGGCUACGCCGUAAAACAACCCCAUUUCUAAGGUUGACCUCGGAUCAGGUAGGGAUACCCGCUGAACUUAAGCAUAUCAAUAAGCGGAGGA